GCAGAAUGUAGCACACGAGACCACGUCAACAUUGCCAGGAGUGGCGCUGCCUUCUACCAAGUUAUUGUCAACGCUGUUUUAAAAGAACAAAUACUCAUACGGAACAUGCAGAGGGAAAGGCCUUGAUAAAGCUGACCAUUCACAGAAAUUCCCCACGAGUCUGCUGUAGGAUGAUUUUGAUCCGAGAAGGCAGACGCUCAAGAUCUUGUCUUGCGCUUCCUGAUGCUCUUGACGUUCCAAGGGAAGAGCCGUAUUCAUCUCUUCGUCCUUUGCAGAACCAGGACUGGUGUUUGAUUCUUGAUCUAGCGGUUUCAAAAACGAAAUCUGGCUCGUUAUCUCCAGCUGUUGGGAAAUCAAGCUUGUCAGAAAACGGACGUAUAUUUAAUAGACAUUAUAUUACAGUAAAGUCUAC
This is a long non-coding RNA of Macrobrachium nipponense, 412 nucleotides long. RefSeq lists it as uncharacterized. The transcript has 3 exons. Lineage: Eukaryota; Metazoa; Arthropoda; Malacostraca; Decapoda; Palaemonidae. The record is from RefSeq and is a predicted model, not a curated record.